This 475-nucleotide ribosomal RNA is filed under the name uncultured Bacteroidota bacterium. Its description in RNAcentral is "bacterial SSU rRNA". It matches the Rfam family "Bacterial small subunit ribosomal RNA", at positions 97 to 570 of the family's 1533-position model. Lineage: Bacteria; Pseudomonadati; Bacteroidota. The record is from RNAcentral.
GGCGCACGGGUGCGUAACACGUAUGCAACCUACCCUUUACAGGGGGAUAGCUCAGAGAAAUCUGAAUUAAUACCCCAUAGUUACAUUUUGCUGCAUGGUAAGAUGUAUAAAGCUCCGGCGGUAAAGGAUGGGCAUGCGUUACAUUAGCUAGUUGGUGAGGUAAUGGCUCACCAAGGCUACGAUGUAUAGGGGUUCUGAGAGGAUGAUCCCCCACACUGGUACUGAGACACGGACCAGACUCCUACGGGAGGCAGCAGUAGGGAAUAUUGGACAAUGGACGCAAGUCUGAUCCAGCCAGGCCGCGUGCAGGAUGACAGCCCUCUGGGUUGUAAACUGCUUUUAUAUGAGAAGAAACCCUCAGAUGCGUUUGAGGCUGACGGUAUCAUAUGAAUAAGGAUCGGCUAACUUCGUGCCAGCAGCCGCGGUAAGACGAAGGAUCCAAGCGUUGUCCGGAUUUACUGGGUUUAAAGGAUGC